AUCGGGGUUGCGGACAGUGUCUGGUGGGUAGUUUGACUGGGGCGGUCUCCUCCCAAAGAGUAACGGAGGAGCACGAAGGUUAGCUAAUCCUGGUCGGACAUCAGGAGGUUAGUGCAAUGGCAUAAGCUAGCUUGACUGCGAGCGUGACGGCGCGAGCAGGUGCGAAAGCAGGUCAUAGUGAUCCGGUGGUUCUGAAUGGAAGGGCCAUCGCUCAACGGAUAAAAGGUACUCCGGGGAUAACAGGCUGAUACCGCCCAAGAGUUCAUAUCGACGGCGGUGUUUGGCACCUCGAUGUCGGCUCAUCACAUCCUGGGGCUGAAGUAGGUCCCAAGGGUAUGGCUGUUCGCCAUUUAAAGUGGUACGCGAGCUGGGUUUAGAACGUCGUGAGACAGUUCGGUCCCUAUCUGCCGUGGGCGCUGGAGAAUUGAGGGGGGCUGCUCCUAGUACGAGAGGACCGGAGUGGACGCAUCACUGGUGUUCGGGUUGUCAUGCCAAUGGCAUUGCCCGGUAGCUAAAUGCGGAAGAGAUAAGUGCUGAAAGCAUCUAAGCACGAAACUUGCCCCGAGAUGAGUUCUCCCUGAGACUUUAAGUCUCCUGAAGGAACGUUAAAG
RNAcentral lists this ribosomal RNA (611 nucleotides) under Klebsiella aerogenes. RNAcentral's name for it is "partial 23S ribosomal RNA". It matches the Rfam family "Bacterial large subunit ribosomal RNA", at positions 2238 to 2843 of the family's 2925-position model. Lineage: Bacteria; Pseudomonadati; Pseudomonadota; Gammaproteobacteria; Enterobacterales; Enterobacteriaceae. The record is from RNAcentral.